Molecule: long non-coding RNA, 2758 nt
Filed under: Salmo salar (Atlantic salmon)
Lineage: Eukaryota; Metazoa; Chordata; Actinopteri; Salmoniformes; Salmonidae
Description: lncRNA (ENSSSAG00000113138.1)
Source: RNAcentral
CCCCUCCACGUGAGGAGACCUUAGAAGCAUGGCAACCAUAGAAUUUCAUUAGAACCAUGGCAACCAUAGAACUUCAUAAUCCUCUCAGCCAGCCAGCAGCAUUGGCCUCCACAGACACAUCAAAUGGCAGCAGCUCUCCUCCCAGCCACAAAUGGAGCAUGGCCAUCAUCAACUUUGAUAGACAGCCAAGAUGGGGGGGAGGGUGUGUAUGUGUAUGUGUGUGUGUGUGUGUGAUUGUGUGUGAGAGAGAGUGUGUGUGUGGUGUGUGAGAGAGAGAGAGUGAGAGAGAGAGAGAGAGUGUGUGAGUGUGAGAGAGAGAGAGAGAGAGAGAGAGAGAGAGAGAGUGUGAGAGUGUGUGUGUGUGUGUGUGUGUGUGAGACCUGCUACUCUUUUUCAGCGUGAGGUUGUUGGCUCCAGAGGUUUGCCAGUUUUUCUGCUUCAUGCGUAUUAAACAUGAACCAUACUGGGAGAUGGUAAUGAGAACAGAACAGUUAACGCUCUCUGCCUGGGUCCUGUUGGAGCAUGCUGUAUGUGAGUGGGUGUGUCUGCACAUGUGCCUGUGUUUCUCCAACUGUUCCUCAGAGUACUGUAUUAUGUGUGUGUGUGUGUGAUCAUAAAGUUAGUGCUGAAGCUGAUGAGAUCAGGCUGAAGCUGAUGAGAUCCACUGUGCUGUGCUGAGAUGAGAUCCACUGUGCUGAGAUCCACUGUGCUGAGAUCCACUGUGUUGAGAUGAGAUCCACUGUGCUGUGCUGAGAUCCACUGUGCUGAGAUGAGAUCCACUGUGCUGAGAUGAGAUCCACUGUGCUGAGAUGAGAUCCACUGUGUUGAGAUGAGAUCCACUGUGCUGAGAAGAGAUCCACUGUGCUGAGAUGAAAUCCACUGUGCUGAGAUGAGGUCCACUGUGCUGAGAUGAAAUCCACUGUGCUGAGAUGAGGUCCACUAUGCUGAGAUCCACUGUGCUGAGAUGAGAUCCACUGUGCUGAGAUGAGAUCCACUGUGCUGAGAUGAGAUCCACUGUGAUGAGAUGAGAUGAGAUCCACUGUGUUGAGAUGAGAUCCACUGUGUUGAGAUGAGAUCCACUGUGCUGAGAUGAGAUCCACUGUGCUGAGAUGAGAUCCACUGUGCUGAGAUCCACUGUGUUGUGAUGAGAUCCACUGUGCAGAGAUGAAAUCCACUGUGCUGAGAUGAAAUCCACUGUGCUGAGAUGAGAUCCACUGUGCUGAGAUGAGAUCCACUGUGCUGAGAUGAGAUCCACUGUGCUGAGAUCCACUGUGCUGAGAUCCACUGUGCUGAGAUCCACUGUGCUGAGAUGAGAUCCACUGUGCUGAGAUGAGAUCCACUGUGCUGAGAUGAGAUCCACUGUGCUGAGAUGAGAUCCACUGUGUUGAGAUGAGAUCCACUGUUGAGAUGAGAUCCACUGUUGAGAUGAGAUCCACUGUGUUGAGAUGAGAUCCACUGUGUUGAGAUGAGAUCCACUGUGUUGAGAUGAGAUCCACUGUGUUGAGAUGAGAUGAGAUCCACUGUGUUGAGAUGAGAUGAGAUCCACUGUGUUGAGAUGAGAUCCACUGUGCUGAGAUGAGAUCCACUGUGCUGAGCUGAAAUCCACUGUGUUGAGAUGAGAUCCACUGUGUUGAGAUGAGAUCCACUGUGUUGAGAUGAGAUCCACUGUGCUGAGAUGAGAUCCACUGUGCUGAGAUGAGAUCCACUGUGCUGAGAUGAAAUCCACUGUGUUGAGAUGAGGUCCACUAUGCUGAGAUCCACUGUGUUGAGAUGAGAUCCACUGUGUUGAGAUGAGAUCCACUGUGCUGAGAUGAGAUCCACUGUGCUGAGAUGAGAUCCACUGUGCUGAGAUGAAAUCCACUGUGUUGAGAUGAGGUCCACUAUGCUGAGAUCCACUGUGUUGAGAUGAGAUCCACUGUGCUGAGAUGAGAUCCACUGUGCUGAGAUGAGAUCCACUGUGCUGAGAUGAGAUCCACUGUGUUGAGAUGAGAUCCACUGUGUUGAGAUGAGAUCCACUGUGCUGAGAUGAGAUCCACUGUGCUGAGAUGAGAUCCAGUGUACUGAGAUGAGGUCCACUGUGUUGAGAUGAGGUCCACUGUGCUGAGAUGAGAUCCACUGUGCUGAGAUGAGAUCCACUGUGCUGAGAUGAGAUCCACUGUGUUGAGAUGAGAUCCACUGUGUUGAGAUGAGAUCCACUGUACUGAGAUGAGGUCCACUGUGUUGAGAUGAGGUCCACUGUGUUGAGAUGAGGUCCACUGUGUUGAGAUGAGGUCCACUGUGUUGAGAUGAGGUCCACUGUGUUGAGAUGAGCCUGCUAGGCUAAAUUCUGGUUAACACUUUUGGACUGUGUCGCAUUUCACUCUCACCCCUGGUCUCUCUCUCCCCAAGUCUCUCUCUCUGAAUUUAAUUAAAUUCACUAUCUCUCUACAGUCUCUCUCUCUACAGUCUCUCUCUCUACAGUCUCUCUCUCUACAGUCUCUCUCUCUAGUCUCUCUCUCUACAGUCUCUCUCUCUACAGUCUCUCUCUCUACAGUCUCUCUCUCUACAGUCUCUCUCUCUACAGUCUCUCUCUCUACAGUCUCUCUCUCUACAGUCUCUCUCUCUACAGUCUCUCUCUCUUUCUCACCUGCGGUGUCUCUUGAUGAGAAGUCUGUCCAUGUAACUGAGACUGUGUUGGGUGAACUCCACCUUCACUGGUCUUCUCUCAGCCCCACUGUCACUCAGGUCUGACUGGGUCCCCAUCACUUCCACUGAUACU